AAACAGUUUAAGUAUAAGGAAACAUUUGUUUGAAACACAAUUGUAAAUGAGUUUGAAAUGAAACAUACAGUGUAUAAUGAAUAGUUUAAUAAGGAGUUUUAAACAUAUAAAACGUUUAUGAAAAUCAUUUGAAGAAAACUGUUUGGUAAAACAGCUAAUGCGUAGUAAAUCAUUUGAAUGCUACUUAUUAAUCGCAUGUCAUUGAUAUAAUAACUAGCAUGAUUCUACUUGUAUCCCCCCCCCCCAUAAAAACAUUUAAAACAUUUAAAACAUUGAUUAAGGGGUAUGAACUCACGUGUAGUGAGUGGUACGGAUGAACUGAAGAUGUAGGAUUGCUAAGUGUCAAGUGAAGUCUUGAACACACUCUAUGAUUCUAGUUAACAUAUAAUCUCAAAUAUAUGUAUCCUAUUAGUCUUUAAACAACUAAUAAACAAGUCAAGACACCUUAGGACAUGCUAAUCACCUUAUACAAGUGUUACAAGUCUCAAGUAUUGCAUCUAAGUGUUAUAGGGAAGGGCUAGUUUGCUUGGGGUUCAAGGAACAUUCCAUUAGGGAGUUUACGGUUUUGUGGUCCCUAGAAAAAGGGUUUAUCAAAUAUAUGUAUCCUAUUAGUCUUUAAACAACUAAUAAACAAGUCAAGACACCUUAGGACAUGCUAAUCACCUUAUACAAGUGUUACAAGUCUCAAGUAUUGCAUCUAAGUGUUAUAGGGAAGGGCUAGUUUGCUUGGGGUUCAAGGAACAUUCCAUUAGGGAGUUUACGGUUUUGUGGUCCCUAGAAAAAGGGUUUACGGUCAUAAACUCACCCUCUUUUUGACCAUUUGUUUUUUGAAGACUUCUAAGCCAAUCCAAGCAUUCCUACUUCAUGUUUAAGUCUUAGGAAGUGUUGUGUGGCAUCAAAGCACUCCUAAAUGGAGUUUACGGUUUAUGGACCAUUUCUCCAUGAGUUUACUACCGUAAACUCUCAUGGACUUAGGUAUUUUGAUGUUUUCAAGUCCUAAACACUUCAAGGUAAUAGCCUAGGUUAGAUUCUAGGCAUAAGGAGUAAAUAUGGGACAUUUAUACACCUUUUGGGGUGUUUACGGUUUUGGGAGAUCCCCAAACCGUAAACACAUAUAAAUGUGAUAUGUUUGUACUUUUUGUGUGAUAAACUCAUCAAGGAUGGAUCUAGAAAAGUCCCUAAGGCAUUGUGAAGCAUCUAGGCACCCCAAGGUACCACUUUUCACCUUACUUGGUGUUUAC
Molecule: long non-coding RNA, 1241 nt
Filed under: Lactuca sativa (garden lettuce)
Lineage: Eukaryota; Viridiplantae; Streptophyta; Magnoliopsida; Asterales; Asteraceae
Description: long non-coding RNA (LSAT_LNC007435)
Source: RNAcentral